Molecule: ribosomal RNA, 670 nt
Filed under: uncultured Alphaproteobacteria bacterium
Lineage: Bacteria; Pseudomonadati; Pseudomonadota; Alphaproteobacteria
Description: bacterial SSU rRNA
Rfam family: Bacterial small subunit ribosomal RNA
Source: RNAcentral
ACGCUAUCUUGUAUAGAGUGGCGCACGGGUGAGUAACGCGUGGGAACCUGCCUUUCUCUGCGGGACAACGGUUGGAAACGGCCGCUAAUACCGCAUACGCCCUACGGGGGAAAGGUCAGCCGGAGAAAGAGGGGCCCGCGUUAGAUUAGCUAGUUGGUGGGGUAAUGGCCUACCAAGGCGACGAUCUAUAGCUGGUCUGAGAGGAUGAUCAGCCACACUGGGACUGAGACACGGCCCAGACUCCUACGGGAGGCAGCAGUGGGGAAUAUUGGACAAUGGGGGCAACCCUGAUCCAGCAAUGCCGCGUGUGUGAUGAAGGCCCUAGGGUUGUAAAGCACUUUCACUGGUGAAGAUGAUGACGGUAACCAGAGAAGAAGCCCCGGCUAACUUCGUGCCAGCAGCCGCGGUAAUACGAAGGGGGCGAGCGUUGUUCGGAAUUACUGGGCGUAAAGGGCGCGUAGGCGGCUCUUUAAGUUAGGCGUGAAAGCCCCGGGCUCAACCUGGGAACUGCGCUUAAGACUGGAGAGCUAGAAAACGGAAGAGGGUAGUGGAAUUCCCAGUGUAGAGGUGAAAUUCGUAGAUAUUGGGAAGAACACCAGUGGCGAAAGCGGCUACCUGGUCCGGAUUUGACGCUGAGGCGCGAAAGCGUGGGGAGCAAACAGGAUUAGAU